GAUGAACGCUGACAGAAUGCUUAACACAUGCAAGUCCACUUGAAUUUGGGUUUUUAACUUCGGUUUGGGUGGCGGACGGGUGAGUAACGCGUAAAGAACUUGCCUCACAGCUAGGGACAACAUUUGGAAACGAAUGCUAAUACCUAAUAUUAUGAUAAUAGGGCAUCCUAUAAUUAUGAAAGCUAUAAGCGCUGUGAGAGAGCUUUGCGUCCCAUUAGCUAGUUGGAGAGGUAACGGCUCACCAAGGCAAUGAUGGGUAGCCGGCCUGAGAGGGUGAUCGGCCACAAGGGGACUGAGACACGGCCCUUACUCCUACGGGAGGCAGCAGUGGGGAAUAUUGGACAAUGGACCGAGAGUCUGAUCCAGCAAUUCUGUGUGCACGAUGAAGUUUUUCGGAAUGUAAAGUGCUUUCAGUUGGGAAGAAACAAAUGACGGUACCAACAGAAGAAGUGACGGCUAAAUACGU
RNAcentral lists this ribosomal RNA (466 nucleotides) under uncultured bacterium. RNAcentral's name for it is "partial 16S ribosomal RNA". It matches the Rfam family "Bacterial small subunit ribosomal RNA", at positions 28 to 506 of the family's 1533-position model. The record is from RNAcentral.